UCCCUGGUGGCUCAGAUGGUAAAGCGUCUGCCUGCAAUGCGGGAGACCCAGGUUCGAUCCCUGGGCUGGGAA
Molecule: transfer RNA, 72 nt
Filed under: Ovis aries (sheep)
Lineage: Eukaryota; Metazoa; Chordata; Mammalia; Artiodactyla; Bovidae
Rfam family: tRNA
About the family: Transfer RNA (tRNA) molecules are approximately 80 nucleotides in length. Their secondary structure includes four short double-helical elements and three loops (D, anti-codon, and T loops).
Source: Rfam by way of RNAcentral